Molecule: transfer-messenger RNA, 351 nt
Filed under: Colwellia psychrerythraea
Lineage: Bacteria; Pseudomonadati; Pseudomonadota; Gammaproteobacteria; Alteromonadales; Colwelliaceae
Also listed under: 4 other names
Rfam family: transfer-messenger RNA
About the family: Bacterial tmRNA, also known as 10Sa RNA or SsrA, is named for its dual tRNA and mRNA-like properties. Its role is to liberate the mRNA from a stalled ribosome.
Source: RNAcentral
GGGGCGGAUCUAGGAUUCGACAAGAUUCAUGAAACCCAAGGUGCAUGCCCAGGGGCGGUUUGCCUGGUAAAAAGCCGUAAAAACUAUAAUUGCUAACGACGAUACGUUCGCACUAGCCGCUUAGGCUAGCCAUCGCCUUGAAAUCUCUCCUAUUGGUUAGAGGAUCGAUGGUCACCCCAAAUAGGAUAGCGAGGGAAGCACGCUUAAGGCUGAACCGCGAAAUAGUAUUAAGCUCACCAUGACGAAGCCUGUCGCUUGGCGUCUAAUUGGUUAAAUAAAUAAGCGACUAAGCAUGUAGUACCGAGGAUGUAGGCUUUUUGGACGGGGGUUCGAUUCCCCCCCGCUCCACCA